ACGAACGCUGGCGGCGUGCUUAACACAUGCAAGUCGAACGAUGAUGCCAGCUUGCUGGUGGAUUAGUGGCGAACGGGUGAGUAACACGUGAGCAACCUGCCCCUGACUUCGGGAUAACCGCGGGAAACCGUGGCUAAUACCGGAUAUGACGCGCUAUCGCAUGGUGGUGUGUGGAAAGAUUUAUCGGUUGGGGAUGGGCUCGCGGCCUAUCAGCUUGUUGGUGGGGUGAUGGCCUACCAAGGCGACGACGGGUAGCCGGCCUGAGAGGGUGACCGGCCACGCUGGGACUGAGACACGGCCCAGACUCCUACGGGAGGCAGCAGUGGGGAAUAUUGCACAAUGGGCGCAAGCCUGAUGCAGCGACGCCGCGUGAGGGAUGACGGCCUUCGGGUUGUAAACCUCUUUCAGUAGGGAAGAAGGCCUUCGGGUUGACGGUACCUGCAGAAGAAGCGCCGGCUAACUACGUG
Molecule: ribosomal RNA, 467 nt
Filed under: uncultured bacterium
Lineage: Bacteria
Description: partial 16S ribosomal RNA
Rfam family: Bacterial small subunit ribosomal RNA
Source: RNAcentral